GACGAACGCUGGCGGCGUGCUUAACACAUGCAAGUCGAACGGUGAAGCUCCAGCUUGCUGGAGUGGAUCAGUGGCGAACGGGUGAGUAACACGUGAGCAACCUGCCCCAGACUCUGGAAUAAGCGCUGGAAACGGCGUCUAAUACUGGAUACGAGAUCAAGCCGCAUGGUUAUGGUCUGGAAAGUUUUUCGGUUUGGGAUGGGCUCGCGGCCUAUCAGCUUGUUGGUGAGGUAAUGGCUCACCAAGGCGACGACGGGUAGCCGGCCUGAGAGGGCGACCGGCCACACUGGGACUGAGACACGGCCCAGACUCCUACGGGAGGCAGCAGUGGGGAAUAUUGCACAAUGGGCGAAAGCCUGAUGCAGCGACGCCGCGUGAGGGAUGACGGCCUUCGGGUUGUAAACCUCUUUCAGCAGGGAAGAAGCGAAAGUGGCGGUACCUGCAGAAGAAGCACCGGCUAACUACGUG
This 468-nucleotide ribosomal RNA is filed under the name uncultured bacterium. RNAcentral's name for it is "partial 16S ribosomal RNA". It matches the Rfam family "Bacterial small subunit ribosomal RNA", at positions 28 to 507 of the family's 1533-position model. The record is from RNAcentral.